This 305-nucleotide unclassified non-coding RNA is filed under the name Hevea brasiliensis (rubber tree). Lineage: Eukaryota; Viridiplantae; Streptophyta; Magnoliopsida; Malpighiales; Euphorbiaceae. The record is from RNAcentral.
UUCCAGUGUAGAAGAGCCAAUGAACGGGUCUCUUGGUCUCAACAUCCUCGUAAUACCAGAUGAAAUCGACCUUCUCCCAGACAUUACAGAGGAAGCCAUCGACAUGGCGUUGACCCAGAUAUUUGGCUCCGUCGAGCCAAUUGGGUCGUAGAAUACCAACCUCAAGCUGAGCGGAAGAGCAAGUCUUAGAAGAGUCCAAAGUGUAGAAGAAGGAAGUGCCGUUGUUCCAUUCGAGGUCGUAGAGAACGUUGCCGAGCUGGUGUUGGAUGAUGUUGAAGUUGCGACCAUUAGGCCAGUCGUACCAG